This is an RNA transcript of Fragaria vesca subsp. vesca, 4183 nucleotides long. It is a transcript of the gene named LRR receptor-like serine/threonine-protein kinase GSO1-like, with no coding region annotated. NCBI's taxonomy places the organism in Eukaryota, Viridiplantae, Streptophyta, Magnoliopsida, Rosales, Rosaceae. The transcript has 4 exons. The record is from RefSeq and is a predicted model, not a curated record.
AUGGAGUUGGGAAGGUGGCUCAUACAUGCUUGUACAAUAUCAAUUGUGCUUCUUCUGCGUAUCAACGCUUCCUUAUCCCUCGGUCACCACCAUGCUAACAUGACGGCGAGAUGCAUUGAGAGGGAGAGGGAUGCACUUCUUGCUAUCAAAGGAGACUUGGUGGAUGAAUACAACCUGCUCUCUUCGUGGGGAAGGGAAGACUGUUGCGGAUGGGAGAGAGUCCAUUGUGAUCCCCACACUGGCCAUGUUAUUCAACUUCAUCUUGGAGGAGUGUUGGAGGUGUCGCGACGUGGACUUGAUCGACUGGAGAUGUACAAUGCAAGGUCAGGAUAUAUGUACUUUCCGGGGUUGUUUUAUCUGCAAGGUCAGGAUAUAUUGAAAAACUUCGGAGGUCAGGUUAGUCCUAAAAUCAUUGAGUUGCAGUAUUUGGAAUAUUUGGACCUCAGUCUCAAUUUUUUCAAUGCCACCCAAAUUCCAACACUCAUUUGUUCUCUGUCCAACUUAAGACACCUAGAUCUCCAUUCCAAUCACCUCACCGGGAGCAAAAUUCCAAAACUCAUUGGUAAUCUGACCAAUUUAAGGUAUCUAGAUCUCUCUUAUAUUGGCUUCAGUGGUGAAAUUCCAACAACAAUGUGUUCUCUGUCUAAUUUAAGACACCUAGAUCUCUAUGAUAAUGACCUAAACGGGAGCAAUAUUCUAGAGCUCAUUGGUAAUCUAACCAAUUUAAGAUAUCUAGAUCUCUCUGAGAAUUCCUUGGGUGAUGAAACUCCAGUUCCAUAUCAUCAACUUGGAAACCUUACUCACUUGCAAUAUCUCAAUCUCGGGUAUACUUACCACACUCAUGUUGUAGAAAACCUCAAUUGGCUCCCACGUCUUUCUUCUUUGAAAUACCUAGACUUGAGUUGGACCAAUCUGAGUAAGGUGUCUGAUUGGCUGGACACAGUAAACAAGCUCCCCAAUCUAAAAAACUUGACACUGUAUGAAUGUGAUCUUCCUCCUCCAAUUCUUUCUACUCUUUCUCACAUCAAUUCUUCCAAUUCUCUUGUUCAUGUUGAUUUGUCUGGUAAUGUUAUCACUUCUUCGAUAUUCAAAUGGUUAUGCAACUACAACACCACCCUUGCAUAUCUUGACCUUUCAUUCACUCAAUUAAGUGGUUUGAUUCCUGAUGUUUUCAUAAACAUGAGAUCACUGAAAAGUCUUUACCUCAUUGUCAACCAGUUAAGUGUUUCGAUUACCUCUCAUGUUUUCAAAACCAUGAGCUCACUUGAACAUCUAUCACUCUCUUACAACCAAUUAAGUGUUUUGAAUCCCAAUGCUUUCACAAACAUGAGCUCACUUGCAUUUCUUGACCUCUCUUCCAACCGAUUAAGUGGUUUGAAUCCCAAUGCUUUCUCAAACAUGAGCUCACUUGCAUAUCUUGACCUCUCUUCGAACCGAUUAAGUGGUUUGAAUCCCAAUGCUUUCUCAAACAUGAGCUCACUUGCAUAUCUUGACCUCUCUUCCAACCGAUUAAGUGGUUUGAAUCCCAAUGUUUUCGCAAACAUGAGCUCACUUGCAUAUCUUGACCUCUCUUCCAACCGAUUAAGCGGUUUGAAUUCCAAUGCUUUCGCAAACAUGAGCUCACUUGCAUAUCUUUCCCUCUCUGAUAACUCACUUGAAGGAGAGAUCCCAACAUCCAUUGCCCAGUUAUGCAGUUUGCAACAUCUAUUCAUGUCAGGUUGUAAUCUGACUGGACAACUUUCUGAGUUCGUUCAAAGAUGGUCCGCAUGUCCUCAAAACCCAAUCCGGUCUUUAUAUCUUUCUAAUAAUGAUCUUGUUGGGUCAUUUCCUGAUUUUACAAACUUUUCAUCAUUGGAGAGCUUAGAUCUCUCUGGAAAUAAGUUGAGCGGAAUGGUUCCGGAUAGUAUUGGAAAGUUGUCUUCUUUGACAUACUUAUCUGUCGAUGAAAACCAAUUAAGAUGGACCAUACCUGAAAGUAUUGGGGAACUAUCCCGUUUAUAUUACUUGAGUCUCUCAGGAAAUCUUCUAAGCGGAAGAAUUCCAGAAAGUAUUGGGAAACUCUCAUCAUUGGCCCAUUUAGAUCUUUCUCAAUUAAGCGAAAGAAUACCAGAUAGUGUUGGGCAAUUGUCGGAAGAAUACCAGAACAAAUUGGGAAAAUAUCAUCGAGAGAUUUCAGAAAUUCAUGUCUCAAAACUCUCCGUUUUAGGUUCCUUGGAUUUAUCCUAUAACUCAAGACUAGAAUUCAAUGUCACUUCUGAUUGGAUUCCUCCUUUUAAUUUGUCUCAUCUGAGUUUGAGGUUUUGUAAGGUGGGGCCAAAUUUCCCAAAAUGGCUCCAAACCCAAAAAGGUCUUUUUGACAUCGACAUGUCUUAUACUGACAUUUUAGAUGUCCUUCCAAGUUGGUUCUGGGGUGUCUUUGGUGACACUCGAACUAUAGAUUUCUCUAACAAUCAAAUCAGAGGAGCAUUAGGGAGUUCAAAGAUUGUAUCAUUUAGUGGAUUUGAAGUUCGAAUUAGUUCAAACCGAUUGGACGGUCUAGUACCCUCAUUUCUAUCAAAUGCUUCAUAUUUGGAUCUCUGAUAAUAAGUUUUCAGAAAUGACGUCUUUCUUGUGCUCUUCAAAUGUUAAAGUCUCAAAAUUUUUUGAUCUGUCCAAAAACCAUAUUGCUGGAGAAGUUCCUGAUUGUUGGAGACAAUGGGCCAAUCUACAACUUCUCGAUUUGAGUUUCAAUGCUUUUUCUGGGAAAAUCCCACCUAGUAUUGGCUAUAUACCUGGAAUCAAAACAUUGAAAUUAAGGAGCAACAAACUUGUGGGAGCGUUGCCUUCAUCCUUGAAGAAUUGUACGAGCUUAAAUGUUAUUGAUCUUGGGAACAAUCAGCUUUCAAAUUCAGUGCCUGAUUGGAUAGGGGCUAGUCUUCCCGAUUUGGUUAUUCUUAUGCUUCAGUUUAAUCAGCUUAGUGGAAGUUUGCCUUCACAGUUAUGUCACCUACCACGUCUUCAAAUAUUGGAUGUUUCUGUGAAUGAAAUCUCGGGAACUAUACCAAAAUGCCUCAACAAUUUGACUUCUUUGGCACAAGAAGGAAAUUCAAAUCUAACCAUCAGACAUUCUUUUAAUAUAUCAGAGGCCGAACCACCUAUGACUUCUCUUUAUUAUGAAGAUGACGCAACAUUCAUGUGGAAAGGAACAUUGGCUUCAUACAAAAGCACUUUGGGACUUGUCAAGAGAAUUGAUCUCUCAAGCAACAGAUUAACUGGGGAGAUUCCAAGUGAAAUCACUUACCUUGUUGGAUUGGUUUCUCUGAACCUGUCAAGGAACAGUUUAAGUGGACAAAUCCCUCUAGAUAUCGGAAAGUUAAAGUCGUUAGAUUCACUUGACUUGUCAGGAAACAAGAUACAUGGUGGAAUCCCGAUAAGCCUUGCUCAUAUAGAUAGACUUGGCGCCUUGGAUUUGUCAUAUAACAACUUGUCUGGUGAAAUUCCAACUGGCACUCAGCUUCAGGGCUUUAAUGCCUCAUCUUAUAUUGGAAAUCCUUGGUUGUGCGGACUUCCACUUCAUGUUUGUGAUCCAAAGGGGACAAGUCGACCUAAUGUCUCGAGUGGUGAAGAUGAUGCAGAUGAGCUCAUCACGCAAGGAUUUUACAUAAGUCUGGGACUUGGAUUUGCUGUUGGAUUCUGGGGAGUCUGUGGGAGCUUGAUAUUUAAGAGGUCGUGGAGAUAUGGAUACUACAACUUCUUGAAUGCUUCAAAUGAUUGGCUUUACGUGAAGGUUUUGCCUCCGUCAGUUGUCAACGUCAGAGAUGAGAGAUCAGAUGUUGUCGACAUCGGAGAGGAGAGAUCAGAGGUCGUCGAUGUCGGAGAGGAGAGAUCGGAGGUCGUCGAUGGCUUGGAUGAAGUCCUAGUAGAGCGCGGCAGACCUCCUCGAUUUCAAACUCUUUGGAGUGGGAGAAGAGGCGGAGGUGGAGGAGGAGGGUCUUGGGUUUGCCGAGGCGAAGGCUUUGCAGAUCUGCCUUUGGAGAUGGUGAAGGAGUUGGCAGAGUUUGGAGAUGGCAGAGGAGUUGGUCGAGUUUCUCGACCGAUCGAGAGUCGCCGUUAUCGGCGUUCGCCGCCGGGGUCAGAGAGACCGAUGAGAUGUCCUUACGCGGCGAUGAUGAAUCUUACCCGAAGACCACAACGUUCUCUGUGA